GACGAACGCUGGCGGCGUGCCUAAUACAUGCAAGUAGAACGCACAGUUUAUACCGUAGCUUGCUACACCAUAGACUGUGAGUUGCGAACGGGUGAGUAACGCGUAGGUAACCUGCCUGGUAGCGGGGGAUAACUAUUGGAAACGAUAGCUAAUACCGCAUAAUAUUAAUUAUUGCAUGAUAAUUAAUUGAAAGGUGCAAUUGCACCACUACCAGAUGGACCUGCGUUGUAUUAGCUAGUAGGUGAGGUAACGGCUCACCUAGGCGACGAUACAUAGCCGACCUGGGAGGGUGAUCGGCCACACUGGGACUGAGACACGGCCCAGACUCCUACGGGAGGCAGCAGUAGGGAAUCUUCGGCAAUGGACGAAAGUCUGACCGAGCAACGCCGCGGGAGUGAAGAAGGUUUUCGGAUCGUAAAGCUCUGUUGUAAGAGAAGAACGGGUGUGAGAGUGGAAAGUUCACACUGUGACGGUAUCUUACCAGAAAGAGACGGCUAACUACGUG
RNAcentral lists this ribosomal RNA (505 nucleotides) under uncultured bacterium. RNAcentral's name for it is "partial 16S ribosomal RNA". It matches the Rfam family "Bacterial small subunit ribosomal RNA", at positions 28 to 507 of the family's 1533-position model. The record is from RNAcentral.